Molecule: small nuclear RNA, 106 nt
Filed under: Neotoma lepida (desert woodrat)
Lineage: Eukaryota; Metazoa; Chordata; Mammalia; Rodentia; Cricetidae
Description: U2 spliceosomal RNA
Rfam family: U2 spliceosomal RNA
About the family: U2 is a small nuclear RNA (snRNA) component of the spliceosome (involved in pre-mRNA splicing).
Source: Rfam by way of RNAcentral
AUUGCUUCUCAGUCUUUGGGCUAAGGUCAAGUGUGGUAUCUGUUUUGUCAGUGUAAUUUCUGAUAUGUCCUCCAAUAAACUCUCUGGGGGUCAAAUGGGACUAGCA